CAGCAGCCGCGGUAAUACAGAGGGUGCGAGCGUUAAUCGGAUUUACUGGGCGUAAAGCGUGCGUAGGCGGCUUUUUAAGUCGGAUGUGAAAUCCCUGAGCUUAACUUAGGAAUUGCAUUCUAUACUGGGAAGCUAGAGUAUGGGAGAGGAUGGUAGAAUUCCAGGUGUAGCGGUGAAAUGCGUAGAGAUCUGGAGGAAUACCGAUGGCGAAGGCAGCCAUCUGGCCUAAUACUGACGCUGAGGUACGAAAGCAUGGGGAGCAAACAGGAUUAGAUACCCCUGUAGUCCCUGUCUCUUAUAA
Molecule: ribosomal RNA, 301 nt
Filed under: uncultured bacterium
Lineage: Bacteria
Description: partial 16S ribosomal RNA
Rfam family: Bacterial small subunit ribosomal RNA
Source: RNAcentral